AUUUGGUGUUGAGGACACUUGAUGCAUAACUUCUUGAAUUGCUCCCAGUAAUUGUAGAGCAACUCUCCUGGAUGCUGUUUGAUACCACAUAUCUCCUUUCUUAGACU
Coffea arabica (coffee) is the source of this 107-nucleotide small nucleolar RNA. NCBI's taxonomy places the organism in Eukaryota, Viridiplantae, Streptophyta, Magnoliopsida, Gentianales, Rubiaceae. The record is from RefSeq and is a predicted model, not a curated record.